CCCCGCGACUCACUGGCAUCCGCUCUCAUUCCGCUUUGUCACGUCCAAGCAGGAAAUCACCCCGCAACUGCCUCUGCACGGGCUCUGUAGCAAGCUUCUUAGGCUUUAUCUCCCUCAGAAACAAAGGAAACAACUUCCAUACGAAUAAAGGAAACAUUAUACGAAACUUUCAUCGUAUAAAUUUACCCUAAAGUGGAAAAAAGUUUUCUACCACCAUGGGCAUACUCGGCCUGUCAAUCUCGAUAAACGCCAUUCGUCAUUCGCCCAAUUACAUCUUUCCUUCGAAGCCGAACUAGGUUACAGCAUCUCCUUUAAGG
Molecule: long non-coding RNA, 317 nt
Filed under: Brassica napus (rape)
Lineage: Eukaryota; Viridiplantae; Streptophyta; Magnoliopsida; Brassicales; Brassicaceae
Description: long non-coding RNA (BNAP_LNC013265)
Source: RNAcentral